This 73-nucleotide transfer RNA is filed under the name Zeacumantus subcarinatus. RNAcentral describes it as "tRNA-Val". It matches the Rfam family "tRNA". From Rfam's summary of the family: Transfer RNA (tRNA) molecules are approximately 80 nucleotides in length. Their secondary structure includes four short double-helical elements and three loops (D, anti-codon, and T loops). The record is from RNAcentral. Lineage: Eukaryota; Metazoa; Mollusca; Gastropoda; Cerithiidae.
UGGGCGGGAUAUAGCAUAAAAUAAUGCAUUUCGUUUACACUGAAAUUAUGUCUGGUAUGCAGACUAUCUUAAA